This 371-nucleotide long non-coding RNA is filed under the name Olea europaea subsp. europaea. Lineage: Eukaryota; Viridiplantae; Streptophyta; Magnoliopsida; Lamiales; Oleaceae. The record is from RNAcentral.
CGCCGAUCCGCCAUCUCAUGGUAUCUCAGCGCCAUCAUCGUGCUAUCUGACAAAUCAGAAUCACUUGACUCGGAUCCUCCUGCAUCAGUCGCCCCGGGUUGGAAAGAACUCGCCCUCGAGUUCACAGUAACUUCAUCGGACUCCAUAAAACUAGGGUUUAGGUGUUUUACAUUGAAGACGUCAGAGGUCUUCAAAUGGCUCGGGAGGCACAAUCUGUAAGCAUUAUCAUUGAUCUUCUGCAGCACUUCACAAGGUCCAAUCUUCCGCUCCUUUAGCUUAUUGUAUUCCCCAGCUGGAAAACGAUCACGAGUUAAUACUGCCCAAACAAAAUCACCAACAUCAAACAACACCUGGCGUCGAUGACUAUCUGC